GCUCCAAUAGCGUAUAUUAUUGAUGUUGCAGUUGAAACGUUCGUAGUCUAACUGUUUCUGUUUGGGCGAAGAACCAGUCUAUGACUGAUCUUUGUAUCCAGCAGAAAAUGUGUUAUUUGUGGGUGUUUCACUCGCUUACUAACAUUCUACUUUGAGUGAAUCGGCGUGUUCCACGCAGCUUUAUGCCUUGAACGAUUUAC
This 200-nucleotide ribosomal RNA is filed under the name uncultured eukaryote. Its description in RNAcentral is "partial 18S ribosomal RNA". It matches the Rfam family "Eukaryotic small subunit ribosomal RNA", at positions 588 to 807 of the family's 1831-position model. The record is from RNAcentral.